GUGCCAGCCGCCGCGGUAAUACGGAGGGUGCAAGCGUUAAUCGGAAUUACUGGGCGUAAAGCGCACGCAGGCGGUCUGUCAAGUCGGAUGUGAAAUCCCCGGGCCCAACCUGGGAACCGCAUUCGAAACUGGCAGGCUAGAGUCUUGUAGAGGGGGGUAGAAUUCCAGGUGUAGCGGUGAAAUGCGUAGAGAUCUGGAGGAAUACCGGUGGCGAAGGCGGCCCCCUGGACAAAGACUGACGCUCAGGUGCGCAAGCGUGGGGAGCAAACAGGAUUAGAUACCCUGGUAGUCCACGCCGUAAACGAUGUCGACUUGGAGGUUGUGCCCUUGAGGCGUGGCUUCCGGAGCUAACGCGUUAAGUCGACCGCCUGGGGAGUACGGCCGCAAGGUUAAAACUCAAAUGAAUUGACGGGGGCCCGCACAAGCGGUGGAGCAUGUGGUUUAAUUCGAUGCAACGCGAAGAACCUUACCAACUCUUGACAUCCAGAGAACUUAGCAGAGAUGCUUUGGUGCCUUCGGGAACUCUGAGACAGGUGCUGCAUGGCUGUCGUCAGCUCGUGUUGUGAAAUGUUGGGUUAAGUCCCGCAACGGGCGCAACCCUUAUCCUUUGUUGCCAGCGGUCCGGCCGGGAACUCAAAGGAGACUGCCAGUGAUAAACUGGAGGAAGGUGGGGAUGACGUCAAGUCAUCAUGGCCCUUACGAGUAGGGCUACACACGUGCUACAAUGGCGCAUACAAAGAGAGGCGAACUCGCGAGAGCAAGCGGACCUCAUAAAGUGCGUCGUAGUCCGGAUUGGAGUCUGCAACUCGACUCCAUGAAGUCGGAAUCGCUAGUAAUCGUAGAUCAGAAUGCUACGGUGAAUACGUUCCCGGGCCUUGUACACACCGCCCGUCACACCAUGGGAGUGGGUUGCAAAAGAAGUAGGUAGCUUAACCUUCGGGAGGGCGCUUACCACUUUGCGAUUCAUGACUGGGGUGAAGUCGUAACAAGGUAGCC
Molecule: ribosomal RNA, 996 nt
Filed under: uncultured Enterobacter sp.
Lineage: Bacteria; Pseudomonadati; Pseudomonadota; Gammaproteobacteria; Enterobacterales; Enterobacteriaceae
Description: bacterial SSU rRNA
Rfam family: Bacterial small subunit ribosomal RNA
Source: RNAcentral